GGGCCCGUAGCUCAGCUGGUAGAGCAACUGACUUUUAAUCAGUAGGUCACAGGUUCGAACCCUGUCGGGCUCACCA
RNAcentral lists this transfer RNA (76 nucleotides) under Rhodothalassium salexigens. RNAcentral describes it as "tRNA-Lys". It matches the Rfam family "tRNA". Rfam says of the family: Transfer RNA (tRNA) molecules are approximately 80 nucleotides in length. Their secondary structure includes four short double-helical elements and three loops (D, anti-codon, and T loops). The record is from RNAcentral. RNAcentral also lists the same sequence under 23 other names. Lineage: Bacteria; Pseudomonadati; Pseudomonadota; Alphaproteobacteria; Rhodothalassiales; Rhodothalassiaceae.